Long non-coding RNA from Spea bombifrons (plains spadefoot toad), 281 nucleotides. RefSeq lists it as uncharacterized. The record is from RefSeq and is a predicted model, not a curated record. NCBI's taxonomy places the organism in Eukaryota, Metazoa, Chordata, Amphibia, Anura, Pelobatidae. The transcript is spliced from 2 exons.
GCAUUUGAGGGGCAUAUAGGAUUUAUGGUGGUCAGUCAUGGCAGAGUAUAGCACUCAAGCAGGGGGUGAGAUGAGAUCAGAAAGAAAUUGUGCUUAAUGUACCUUCAGGUAGGAGCCAAAACCAGUCCUUUUCCAUAGGCACACCAGCUGGGAUGCAAAAAUGAUACUGCUGGAAAUAUAAUGAAAGCCAAUGUCAUUUGGGUACCCUCUGCCAUUUCAUACACAAGUGCUCAUAUUGCAAUUAUCCCCCCCUUUUCAAAAUCUUUUAAGCAACAAAUAAA